UACGAAGGGGGCUAGCGUUGCUCGGAAUUACUGGGCGUAAAGCGCACGUAGGCGGGUCUUUAAGUCGGGGGUGAAAUCCUGGAGCUCAACUCCAGAACUGCCUUCGAAACUGAAGAUCUUGAGUUCGGGAGAGAUGAGUGGAACUGCGAGUGUAGAGGUGAAAUUCGUAGAUAUUCGCAAGAACACCAGUGGCGAAGGCGGCUCACUGGCCCGAUACUGACGCUGAGGCACGAAAGCGUGGGGAGCGAACAGG
Molecule: unclassified non-coding RNA, 253 nt
Filed under: uncultured Xanthobacteraceae bacterium
Lineage: Bacteria; Pseudomonadati; Pseudomonadota; Alphaproteobacteria; Hyphomicrobiales; Xanthobacteraceae
Description: contains 16S-23S intergenic spacer region
Rfam family: Bacterial small subunit ribosomal RNA
Source: RNAcentral